RNAcentral lists this ribosomal RNA (392 nucleotides) under uncultured eukaryote. RNAcentral's name for it is "partial 18S ribosomal RNA". It matches the Rfam family "Eukaryotic small subunit ribosomal RNA", at positions 592 to 976 of the family's 1831-position model. The record is from RNAcentral.
CAAUAGCGUAUACUAAAGUUGUUGCGAUUAAAAAGCUCGUAGUUGGAUCUCAGGCAUGGGCGCACGGUCCGCCUCGCGGCGGUCACUGUGUGUUUUGUUUCCCAUCCUACGCUUCCCGGUUAUCAGCCCAUGGUGCUCUUCACUGAGCGUUUUGGGUGGCCGGAACGUUUACUUUGAAGAAAUUCGAGUGUUCAAAGCAGGCACGUCGCCUGAAUAAUGGUGCAUGGAAUAAUGGAAUAGGACCUCGGUUCUAUUUUGCUGGUUUUCGGAACACGAGGUAAUGAUUAAGAGGGACAGACGGGGGCAUCCGUAUUGCGGUGUUAGAGGUGAAAUUCUUGGAUCAUCGCAAGACGAACAACUGCGAAAGCAUUUGCCAAGCAUGUUUUCAUUAG